UACGGAGGGUGCAAGCGUUGUUCGGAAUCACUGGGCGUAAAGGGCGUGUAGGCGGUCCGCUAAGUCUGAUGUGAAAGCCCGAGGCUUACCCUCGGAAGUGCAUUGGAGACUGGCGGACUGGAGUCCCGGAGAGGAGGGUGGAAUUCCUGGUGUAGCGGUGAAAUGCGUAGAUAUCAGGAGGAACGCCGGAGGCGAAAGCGAGUGACUGGCGCGUUCCUGACGCUGAGGUGCGAAAGCUAGGGGAGCAAACAGG
Molecule: ribosomal RNA, 253 nt
Filed under: uncultured bacterium
Lineage: Bacteria
Description: partial 16S ribosomal RNA
Rfam family: Bacterial small subunit ribosomal RNA
Source: RNAcentral